This 229-nucleotide ribosomal RNA is filed under the name uncultured bacterium. Its description in RNAcentral is "partial 16S ribosomal RNA". It matches the Rfam family "Bacterial small subunit ribosomal RNA", at positions 568 to 796 of the family's 1533-position model. The record is from RNAcentral.
UACGUAGGCGGAAAAUUAAGUCAGUAGUGAAAUCCCACGGCUUAACUGUGGAACUGUUAUUGAUACUGGUUUUCUUGAAUAUAGUUGAGGUAGGCGGAAUGUGUAAUGUAGCGGUGAAAUGCUUAGAUAUUACACAGAACACCGAUUGCGAAGGCAGCUUACUAAGCUAUGAUUGACGCUGAGGUACGAAAGCGUGGGGAGCGAACAGGAUUAGAUACCCUGGUAGUCC